CUGCCCUCUUCAACCAUUCCCAUGGAAUUCAUCCUGUCCAGCCUCCGUCAGAUAAUCCAGCCCUCCCCCUCCUACUUCCAGAGACUAAUUUGCAGAUUCUAAUGGGUAUGUGCUAAGGAGAUGAUGAGUGAACACGCUGCCAGUUUGGUUGCAGUGUGUCACCGAAUUCCGUAGAUUCAUCAUCACUAUGUGGGGUGGAAGCUGCACAGACUACAACAAGGCUUC
This is a long non-coding RNA of Engraulis encrasicolus (European anchovy), 225 nucleotides long. RefSeq lists it as uncharacterized. The transcript is spliced from 3 exons. The record is from RefSeq and is a predicted model, not a curated record. Lineage: Eukaryota; Metazoa; Chordata; Actinopteri; Clupeiformes; Engraulidae.